GAUGAAGAACGCAGCGAAAUGCGAUAAGUAAUGUGAAUUGCAGAAUUCAGUGAGUCAUCGAAUCUUUGAACGCACAUUGCGCCCCCUGGUAUUCCGGGGGGCAUGCCUGUCCGAGCGUCAUUACAACCCUCAAGCUCAGCUUGGUGUUGGGCCCCGCCGCCCCGGCGGGCCCUAAAGUCAGUGGCGGUGCCGUCCGGCUCCGAGCGUAGUAAUUCUUCUCGCUCUGGAGGUCCGGUCGUGUGCUCGCCAGCAACCCCCAAUUUUUUUCAGGUUGACCUCGGAUCAGGUAGGGAUACCCGCUGAACUUAAGCAUAUCAAUAAGCGGAGGA
This 329-nucleotide unclassified non-coding RNA is filed under the name soil metagenome. Its description in RNAcentral is "partial contains 5.8S ribosomal RNA, internal transcribed spacer 2, and large subunit ribosomal RNA". The stretch from base 1 to 120 matches the Rfam family "5.8S ribosomal RNA", at positions 35 to 154 of the family's 154-position model. The record is from RNAcentral.